AGAGUGAACGCUGGCGGUAGGCCUAACACAUGCAAGUCGAACGGCAGCACAGGAGAGCUUGCUCUCUGGGUGGCGAGUGGCGGACGGGUGAGGAAUACAUCGGAAUCUACCUUUUCGUGGGGGAUAACGUAGGGAAACUUACGCUAAUACCGCAUAAGACCUUCGGGUGAAAGCCGGGGACCUUCGGGCCUGGCGCGGAUAGAUGAGCCGAUGUCGGAUUAGCUUGUUGGCGGGGUAAAAGCCCACCAAGGCGACGAUCCGUAGCUGGUCUGAGAGGAUGAUCAGCCACACUGGAACUGAGGCACGGUCCAGACUCCUACGGGAGCAGCAGUGGGGGAAUAUUGGACAAGUGGGCGCAAGCCUG
Molecule: ribosomal RNA, 364 nt
Filed under: uncultured soil bacterium
Lineage: Bacteria
Description: bacterial SSU rRNA
Rfam family: Bacterial small subunit ribosomal RNA
Source: RNAcentral